UCCACAGUCAUCGAGGGAUUGCCCAACGUUACAUAUUUCACAUGAACUCCUUCGCCUACAGCCUUGGACGAGAAUAGAUCAGUGUUGCAGAGCAGGUUGGUAAAACAAGGAACAAAUGCACACACCUCCACAUGUUGGUGAAAAAAGCAUGCCCACACGCACCACACCUGACAUGAGCAUGAUGUAGCGCGAGGCGAGUCCUGUGUUCAUGCUAACUAUUCACGAGGCGUAUGCUAACUAUUCACGAGGCGUAUCAGAGAGAUCAUCUCAAAGGAUAUAGAGAAAUGUUAUGUUUGCCUCAUACAAUGCACGCUGCACAAUAAUAGUUUUACCGUUCGACUAGUAAAUAUUUACCGUCAACGAGGUUAGACAGAAGUUGAUUAUUCAAUAGUAAAAAAAAAAAAAAAAUAUUUCUGUGAAUAGUAGAUGUAGUUUAUCAGUUUUAUUUUACUUUAAACCAAGAUACUAAGAGAAAAAAACAACAACUCACCGAUAAAUCUAAAACUAAACUUCCUCAAAAUGAAUAAACAAGGAAGGGAUUAAAAUAUAUGACAGCGCGGAGUAUACGUUCUAAAGAAUUACAAAUAAUUCAACCACUUUUGUUCUAAACCUGCCAGGGCACACCAGACCCAGCAGGCGAGGCACCAGAUGACCUGCCUCGCCAAGCCGCCACACCAGACCCAGCAGGCGAGGCACCGGAUGACCUGCCUGGCCAAGCAUCUACAACAUACGGCCGAGAACUGCCGGAGUUUAGCCAUUUUGUUUCUAUGAGCCGUACUAUCCGUGACGGUUAAGAGCUUCACCGCCUCCUCUACCACAAUCUUCUCAGCGUUGUUCGGUAAAUAAGCACAUAAGGAAACAUAUGAGCAAGGUAUCUCAAGUAGUCUGGACUUGGCACCAACAAUGACAUCACGCACAUCUGUGACGUCACACAGAGCCUCGGUGUUCACUGGUCUGCACGAGAUAAAGACAAUAAGCGAAUGGCUCUACAUUUCCUCGUGAUUCUUAGAUUACUGUUUUUCUUUGCUGGUUUUACUUUCGUUAAAUGGUUAGAUGUAUAACUGUCAUAUUGUAUUUCGUGGUGGCCAAGUCCAGACGGAGAGAAGUGGAAGUGGGCCCCAUUUCUAAUGAUUUAAGGCGGGAAUAUGGAAACUUCAACCUAAAAAAUUUGUUCACUGUAAAAACUGAUAAAAAAUGUUUUUGUGUUCAUCGGAUCCUGAGUUUAAAGUACAAGUACAAAUAAGAUUACUAAGACAUGCCCUUUGUGUUAUAGGACGUGUCUAAGGAAGCAGUUUUAUACCCGUUUUGUCAUUUGUCCAUCUAAAAACAUGAUGUAAGGAAAUACAUAACGAACAGGUUCUGUAAUGUAGACUGAAAAUGUGUCUGAUUUUGUGAUCAAGAAUGUUCUGUCUAUUUAUGUAUCAGUGUCAACACUUCAUCCUUAAGCUUUUAGAAUUAUUUAACUGUUCGAAUUAUUAUUAUUAUGUUCUAAAGGUUUAACUUUUCCAGGGAGCUCAAUUUUUCAUUUUUAGAGUUUGAUUUUUAAGCAUUUUAGUGUUUUCCUUUAUUAUUCUAGGUUUGAUGUUUAAUACCUUUUUAAUUUACUUUUAAGUUUUAGUGUUUUAUUGUCGCGUUUUUCAUGUCCAUGUUUUGUUUAGUUUUAUUUUAUUUUGGACCUGGACCAUAAUGAUAAUGAUUUCCCAUAUGUGGUUAUUGUGGUCAAUAAACUAUCUAUUUAUC
Molecule: long non-coding RNA, 1740 nt
Organism: Scylla paramamosain (green mud crab)
Lineage: Eukaryota; Metazoa; Arthropoda; Malacostraca; Decapoda; Portunidae
Exons: 2
Source: RefSeq, a predicted model, not a curated record